CCUGACAGCCACACCAUCCUGAUGACACUCGAUCUAUUCUAUCCUGACCUCAGAAGCUAACCAGGGUCAGGCACAGUUAGUACUUGUAUGGGAGACAAUCUGAGAAUACUGGGGGCUGUAGGCU
Molecule: ribosomal RNA, 124 nt
Filed under: Chaetura pelagica (chimney swift)
Lineage: Eukaryota; Metazoa; Chordata; Aves; Apodiformes; Apodidae
Source: RNAcentral